ACUCCUACGGGAGGCAGCAGUGGGGAAUAUUGCACAAUGGGCGCAAGCCUGAUGCAGCCAUGCCGCGUGUGUGAAGAAGGCCUUCGGGUUGUAAAGCACUUUCAGUCGUGAGGAAGGUAGUGUAGUUAAUAGCUGCAUUAUUUGUACGUUAGCGACAGAAGAAGCACCGGCUAACUCCGUGCCAGCAGCCGCGGUAAUACGGAGGGUGUGAGCGUUAAUCGGAAUUACUGGGCGUAAAGCGCAUGCAGGUGGUUUGUUAAGUCAGAUGUGAAAGCCCGGGGCUCAACCUCGGAAUAGCAUUUGAAACUGGCAGACUAGAGUACUGUAGAGGGGGUAGAAUUUCAGGUGUAGCGGUGAAAUGCGUAGAGAUCUGAAGGAUACCGGUGGCGAAGGCGGCCCCUGGACAGAUACUGACACUCAGAUGCGAAAGCGUGGGAGCAAACAGGAUUAGAUACCCCGUGUAGACUGUCA
RNAcentral lists this ribosomal RNA (471 nucleotides) under uncultured bacterium. RNAcentral describes it as "bacterial SSU rRNA". It matches the Rfam family "Bacterial small subunit ribosomal RNA", at positions 335 to 802 of the family's 1533-position model. The record is from RNAcentral.